GACGGCCGCGGGGUCUCCCCCUGCGGCGGCCGGGGGCUCGCUGGAUCCCCUCGUGCUAACGGGUCUGGCCGUGCAGGGCCGUGGGAGGUGUCCCGUUCAUGCAGUGACUUCUUGAGCACUUAGUGGAGGGAGCCAUUAUUCGGUCAUCGGGGGGAGGGAACAAAGACGUGAGUGACGCGCUCAGUCACCUACUGGCGGGUGGUGGCGGCCCCGGGAGGAAGAGGGAAGCCCAAAGGGCUGAGAGCGUGGGGGAGAGACGCUGGCGUUUCCUCCUGGACAGGUGUGUGCUUCAUGGAACAGAGAAGCCGCAUGACAGGGUGGGGAGCAACAUGGCGAAGCCUGUCUUCGGAGUUGGUUCUGAGGUCGUAGAUCCUGGAGCAAAUGAAACACUGGAGUGAAGGUGUGUGACCAAAUUCUCUGCAGGACAGCACCCCCCCACCCCAAAUGUUAUGGGUUAGGAAAUGGUUGCAGCCCAGAACUUUCGGGGUCUGUGGGACGCGGAAUUUUGUUUUGAUAAGAACCUUUGCCUUUGGAGCGGGAAUUGAAGACAGCCUGCUUCUGCAAGUGACAGCAAACUUCCAUUCCGGGUUCUGAAAAAUUUCUCAACUAUAUUUUCAUUCCUGCUUAACUGAGCGAUCCUAAUUCCCGGCUGUCCUGCUAAGGUAGAAUCUAAAUCCUGAUUGGCGGCGGGGGGGGGGGGGGCGCCACAUUGCGUUCCAUUCAGUGAACUUGUACACAGAGCCAGGCACGGUGCCAGAUGCUUUAAGGAAUAAAAUGAUGGUAAUUAUUA
This is a long non-coding RNA of Hyaena hyaena (striped hyena), 790 nucleotides long. RefSeq lists it as uncharacterized. The transcript is spliced from 2 exons. Lineage: Eukaryota; Metazoa; Chordata; Mammalia; Carnivora; Hyaenidae. The record is from RefSeq and is a predicted model, not a curated record.